Molecule: ribosomal RNA, 774 nt
Filed under: uncultured bacterium
Lineage: Bacteria
Description: bacterial SSU rRNA
Rfam family: Bacterial small subunit ribosomal RNA
Source: RNAcentral
AGAGUUUGAUCAUGGCUCAGAAUCAACGCUGGCGGCGUGCCUCAGACAUGCAAGUCGAACGAUUAAGACUUCCUUCGGGAAGUGCAUAAAGUGGCGCACGGGUGAGUAACACGUAAGUAAUCUACCUUCGAGUGGGGAAUAACGUCCGGAAACGGACGCUAAUACCGCAUAAUGCAGCGGCAUCGAAAGAUGACAGUUGUUAAAGGAGCAAUUCGCUUGAAGAGGAGCUUGCGGCAGAUUAGCUAGUUGGUAAGGUAAUGGCUUACCAAGGCUACGAUCUGUAACCGGUCUAAGAGGACGGUCGGUCACACUGACACUGAAUAACGGGUCAGACUCCUACGGGAGGCAGCAGUCGGGAAUUUUGGGCAAUGGGCGAAAGCCUGACCCAGCAACGCCGCGUGAAGGAUGAAGUAUUUCGGUAUGUAAACUUCGAAAGAAUAGGAAGAAUUAAUGACGGUACUAUUUAUAAGGUCCGGCUAACUACGUGCCAGCAGCCGCGGUAAUACGUAGGGACCAAGCGUUGUUCGGAUUUACUGGGCGUAAAGGGCGCGUAGGCGGCAUGACAAGUCACUUGUGAAAUCUCCGGGCUUAACUCGGAACGGUCAAGUGAUACUGUCGCGCUAGAGUGCGGAAGGGGCAAUCAGAAUUCUUGGUGUAGCGGUGAAAUGCAGAUAUCAAGAGGAAUACCUGAGGUGAAGACGGGUUGCUAGGCCGACACUGACGCUGAAGCGCGAAAGCCAGGGGAGCAAACGGGAUUAGAUACCCUAGUAGUCC